ACAGUGGUGGCUCAGUGGUAGAAUUCUUGCCUUCCAUGCAGGAGACCUGGGUUCAAUUCCCAGCCAAGGCA
RNAcentral lists this transfer RNA (71 nucleotides) under Loxodonta africana (African savanna elephant). It matches the Rfam family "tRNA". From Rfam's summary of the family: Transfer RNA (tRNA) molecules are approximately 80 nucleotides in length. Their secondary structure includes four short double-helical elements and three loops (D, anti-codon, and T loops). The record is from Rfam by way of RNAcentral. Lineage: Eukaryota; Metazoa; Chordata; Mammalia; Proboscidea; Elephantidae.